GAUGAACGCUGGCGGCGUGCCUAAUACAUGCAAGUCGAGCGAACGGACGAGAAGCUUGCUUCUCUGAUGUUAGCGGCGGACGGGUGAGUAACACGUGGAUAACCUACCUAUAAGACUGGGAUAACUUCGGGAAACCGGAGCUAAUACCGGAUAAUAUUUUGAACCGCAUGGUUCAAAAGUGAAAGACGGUCUUGCUGUCACUUAUAGAUGGAUCCGCGCUGCAUUAGCUAGUUGGUAAGGUAACGGCUUACCAAGGCAACGAUGCAUAGCCGACCUGAGAGGGUGAUCGGCCACACUGGAACUGAGACGCGGUCCAGACUCCUACGGGAGGCCGCAGUAGGGAAUCUUCCGCAAUGGGCGAAAGCCUGACGGAGCAACGCCGCGUGAGUGAUGAAGGUCUUCGGAUCGUAAAACUCUGUUAUUAGUGAAGAACAUAUGUGUAAGUAACUGUGCACAUCUUGACGGUACCUAAUCAGAAAGCCCCGGCUAACUACGUG
This 497-nucleotide ribosomal RNA is filed under the name uncultured bacterium. RNAcentral's name for it is "partial 16S ribosomal RNA". It matches the Rfam family "Bacterial small subunit ribosomal RNA", at positions 28 to 507 of the family's 1533-position model. The record is from RNAcentral.